AAGGAGGAUAUGCUCCUGGAGCAGCUGCCAGACCCAGAGGCUCCGUGUGCCUCUGGCUGGAAGGGAAUGGGACCCAUGCACUUGAGCCGGGGCCAGGCCUUGGCACCCUCGAACCAACUGUGGCAUGUGGCGCAUGUCUGCACUUGACCGUAUCCCGCUGCCCAGGGAGGCUGUGAUACGGUUCACAGGAAGGCCCAAGAGGAGCCCGGAUCCGUGCGCCGGACAGAGGAGCCCCUGAUCCACAGUCCACAGCUCGCAACCCAGCGGGAAGCCAAGUGAGCACUGCAGACGCCCCCAGGUGGCCCAUACGCAGAGGGACACAUGUUGGAGGGGCCCCUUCUUUUGAACAGUGCCCAUACACCCUGGUGUUACGAAGUUGUAUGUGAUGUGAACACUGUGAUGUUGAUUGAUUAAAUGUAAAACAGUU
Neogale vison (American mink) is the source of this 427-nucleotide long non-coding RNA. RefSeq lists it as uncharacterized. NCBI's taxonomy places the organism in Eukaryota, Metazoa, Chordata, Mammalia, Carnivora, Mustelidae. The transcript has 2 exons. The record is from RefSeq and is a predicted model, not a curated record.